GACGAACGCUGGCGGCGUGCCUAAUACAUGCAAGUCGAGCGGACGAAUCGAAAGCUUGCUUUUGAUUCGUUAGCGGCGGACGGGUGAGUAACACGUGGGCAACCUGCCCUGUAGACGGGGAUAACACCGAGAAAUCGGUGCUAAUACCGGAUAACACGAAAUGUCGCAUGACGUUUCGUUGAAAGACGGCGCAAGCUGUCGCUACAGGAUGGGCCCGCGGCGCAUUAGCUAGUUGGUGAGGUAACGGCUCACCAAGGCGACGAUGCGUAGCCGACCUGAGAGGGUGAUCGGCCACACUGGGACUGAGACACGGCCCAGACUCCUACGGGAGGCAGCAGUAGGGAAUCUUCCGCAAUGGACGAAAGUCUGACGGAGCAACGCCGCGUGAGCGAAGAAGGCCUUCGGGUCGUAAAGCUCUGUUGUUAGGGAAGAACAAGUAACGCAGUAACUGGCGUUUCCGUGACGGUACCUAACGAGAAAGCCACGGCUAACUACGUG
RNAcentral lists this ribosomal RNA (498 nucleotides) under uncultured bacterium. RNAcentral describes it as "partial 16S ribosomal RNA". It matches the Rfam family "Bacterial small subunit ribosomal RNA", at positions 28 to 507 of the family's 1533-position model. The record is from RNAcentral.